CAUUAUAUCUCUAAACUCCUCUUUUCCAUGUAAAAAUUCCCAAAUUCGUGUUCAUCGGAAUAAGCCAAGCCCUUUCUGUACAUACUAGUGUUGUUUCCUAACACCCUCUCUCAAGUUUCUCAAUUUCUUCCGAUGAAUUUCAUUGAGAAUUUAUGGUCCUUACUCUACCUUGAAGGUAUCAAAAAAAGAGGUGUAGUUUUCUCUGAACAAAGAUUCAAACUUUCCCACGACAUCGGAAACCAUGGCCAGAACAAGCUAUAGAGGUGCCAAUUUAGAGAGAUGCCGAGAUGAACCAGUCGCACUUGUCCUCAAAACCAUCGCCAUUGCGUCGAUCCUCAUCACUAGAUCCAUCGGAAUCUCAAUCCCCAUUGUUGGAAAGAACAGCCACUUCCUCCGAACUUACAGCAAUCUCUUCAUAUUCGCCAAGGCAUUCGCUGUUAGCAUCAUCCUUACCACAGGGUUCGUACACAUGCUCCCAGUCGGAUUGGUAAGACUCAUGACUUAGGGUUUGUUUUCGUGAGUUUGGGUUAAGGUUUUCGUGAAGGAAGAAUGAGAGACCUAGGAAGGAGAGAUAUGGAAGGAGAGAGAGAGUGAUUUAUGCAUACUAGACUCAUCGGGGAGAGAGAAAAGAGAAAGAGGGGGGAACGAAUCCCCUAAAGUGCAGAGAGGUAAUGUAUUCACCAACUCCU
Long non-coding RNA from Carya illinoinensis, 689 nucleotides. RefSeq lists it as uncharacterized. The record is from RefSeq and is a predicted model, not a curated record. The transcript has 3 exons. NCBI's taxonomy places the organism in Eukaryota, Viridiplantae, Streptophyta, Magnoliopsida, Fagales, Juglandaceae.